AUGGAAACUGGGAGGCAGCUCGCGGCCCCGGCAACCCCUCCCAGGGGUGGGGAAACCAAGCACGUUAUUCUGUCGGGAGCGGGCUCGGCGACAGCCCGGGCGCUGCGACCCCGCGCCGGCGCGCCUGGCAGCCGAACCGAGUCCGCAGCCCCCGCGCGAGGCUGCCGGGGCCGCCCGGGCCGAGGGGCGCGGGGCGGCUCGCGGGCUGCGCGGCCGGGGGCUCCCCGCUCCCUCCUGCCCCAUAGGAGCCAGGCCCGGGCGAGGAGGGCCGCCGGGGGCGGCGGAGCGCGUCUCAGGGCCGCGGGGAGAGCGCCACAGACACUUGUUUGCAAGGCUCAGCCCGGCGCGCGCGCGGCGCUCCGAGCGGGUCCGCCUCCUCCCGGCCGGGUGGGCGGUGGCCCGCGCCUCGCGGGCUGGGCUCCUCCUCCGGCUCCUCCUCCUCGCCGGCGAUGCUCGGCAGGGCCCCCGCCCCAGUCCCUUCCCGGCGGGCCCGUGCGGCCCCGGGGAAGGCGCUGGGGUCCUCUGGCAUCGCCCGGGGACGGCUCGGGUCGGGCGCCCGCGGCCUCGCCGCGUUGCGCGCUCUCCAACAGACUUCUGUCCGCCUCCCGGUUUCUGCUCCGGGUUUAUUCCCGGCAACAGCGGCCGCCUCGGGACACACAUUCACACUGCCACCCGCAAACCCAUUCUUGCGACUCCCGGGGACCUGAGGAAGCGGCGCGGAGAGGGCACUUCGAAGUAGCUGUGACUCUGGGAAUCCAAGCGGAUAUUGGGACCAAUUUAAGAGGCUCUGAGAGUGGCAUCCUGGGGGACGCAAGCACCACGUGGGUUCUCAGCCAGCCCAGAGUCCCUCCUUAUGGCAUGUGCUUCUCGCUCCUGUUUCCUGACUUUCCAAGAGCGCUGUCACUGGAUAGCCUGCUGGAGACUUUGGGGGAGAGCAAAGACGAGGAGCAUCAAGGAGACCACACUCUUUUUCUCUAAGCAGUCUCGGGAGAACAGAAUUCCAAGCGUUAAAGUGGAUGGUGUGGAUUUUAGAGGUGUAAACUGUGAGAGCAAGGCAGGGAGAAGACCUUCCUCAAGUGGAACCACCAGCAUCAGCACCACCUGGGAACUGGUUAGAGGUGCCAGUUCUCAGGCCCCACCUUAGCCCUGCUGAACCAAACACUCCGGGAUGGGGGCCCAGCAACGUGUUCAUAAGCCCUUCCAGGAACCGAGACCCCUUGUCCAGUUCAGGCCUGCUGAGACCACCAACCCAUCAACUGGGCCUGUGCAAGUGCUGGGUGGAAUUUUCCUUGGUACUGUUGCUGCAGCUGGAAUGCUGGCUGGAUUUGUAACAACGUUGUCAUUGGCUAAAAAGAAAAGCCCUGAAUGGUUCAAUAAGGGAAGCGUGGCCACGGCCGCCUUACCGGAGAGUGGCUCUUCCCUUGCCUUGCGAGCCCUGGGCUGGGGCUCCCUUUACGCGUGGUGUGGGGUUGGCGUGAUCAGCUUCGCAGUCUGGAAAGCCUUAGGAGUUCACAGUCCGCAGCUCCUGCAGCAGUGCCCAGCGCAGAGGAGGUGUUUGGUGAGCAUCUCGUGGAGGGAAUCUGACCGCUCUGCUUCUGCCAUUUCAGUGGCUCCCUCUUCCCUUGAGAAGAGAGUCCAAGCUCCCGAAAUGGUUUGAGUCCCUCUGGGAUCUGGCCCCUGCUUGUUAUUUAACUCACUGGGUCUCAGCGGGGGACAAUUUUGACCACCCCUCUUCCCAGAAGAAAGAUAUUUGGUGAUGUCUGGAGACAUUUUGCCUGUCAUAACUGCCGGGGUGCUGCUGGCAUCUGGUAGAGGCCAGGGAUGCUGCUGAGCAUCUGACAACGCCUAGACAGCCCCCACAAAGAAUGAUCUGGUCCCGAAUGUCAGUGGUGCUACAGUUGAGAGUUGAGCCAUUUCUCUCAUAAGCCUUGUCACACUCAGAGUCCCAGCCAUGUGGAAAGGCCCUGUUCUUCCUAGCCUCUGAGCCUUGUCCUUGCUGAUCCCCCACCCGGAGCCCUCCUUCCUCUGCCUGCUGUUCCCCGCUGCUGACUCUCUUCUCUGCCUCCACGGAGUCCUGAGGCAGAUUGACUUUGAACCUUUACAACAUGGAGUUAAUCUGUUUUGGCAGUUUGGGGUUUAUACAGAUAACUUAUGUUUCUACCUCAAAUUGAAAGUAACUUCCAUACACAAAUGUAUUUUUCAUGUCAAUUUUUUAGAUGAAUAAAGCUGCUGUUACUGAGGA
Non-coding RNA from Equus caballus (horse), 2242 nucleotides. The record is from RefSeq and is a predicted model, not a curated record. Lineage: Eukaryota; Metazoa; Chordata; Mammalia; Perissodactyla; Equidae.